UUAACUGUGACCGUCAAGGCUUUUUAGAAUUCCUAGGGUUUUGAACAAGUUAACCUCUCCCCAAAAUUGACCGUCACGUUCCAUAUCUCCCAACAGGGCUUAGCAAUUCGCGGCUAUUUGAUUUUGAAGAACUGAUCCUACUUUCGUGAUUGCCAUAAAUACAGUUUUGGAUUGUGGUGAGAAGAUCAAGUUACUUGUUGACAAGACAGAAACCUUCAAUUUCAGGUUUGAAGCUUUCAAUGUAAUGAGAACGUAUGGGAAUUUCUUGUUGAGUUGAAAGUAGAUUGAAAAGCUGAACUUGGCUGUGAAGAAGAAGAUCAUCAAGCAAAAAGGAAAAAGAGGAAGACCAAGAAAGGUUAAAUGGGGUGAAAGUGAGGUUGUUGGCCGAAAAAGAUAAGGUGGAUAAAGAAGCUAUGCUCAAUAAGAUGACACAAAUUGAAGAUAUGUUAACAGCUACGGUUCGAAGAUAGGCUAUAAACACUAGGUUUUGAAUGUUGAGAUGUUUAUCAUAUAGGAUAAUUACGGUUAUUUGAUGUUUAGUUGAUAUUUUUAUUAGAAUGUUUUAUAUGAUUUUCAAAUAGGAAAAACUAAAUCAGAGAUGUUUUAUAUAGUUUUUGGGGUUUGUAAUUUUAUUAGAGUGUUUAAUACA
Molecule: long non-coding RNA, 649 nt
Organism: Helianthus annuus (common sunflower)
Lineage: Eukaryota; Viridiplantae; Streptophyta; Magnoliopsida; Asterales; Asteraceae
Exons: 4
Source: RefSeq, a predicted model, not a curated record